UGAGGAAUAUUGGUCAAUGGGCGGUAGCCUGAACCAGCCAAGUAGCGUGCAGGAUGACGGCCCUAUGGGUUGUAAACUGCUUUUAUGCGGGGAUAAAGUCACCCACGUGUGGGUGUUUGCAGGUACCGCAUGAAUAAGGACCGGCUAAUUCCGUGCCAGCAGCCGCGGUAAUACGGAAGGUUCGGGCGUUAUCCGGAUUUAUUGGGUUUAAAGGGAGCGUAGGCCGUUUGGUAAGCGUGUUGUGAAAUGUAGGAGCUCAACUUCUAGAUUGCAGCGCGAACUGUCAGACUUGAGUGCGGACAACGUAGGCGGAAUUCAUGGUGUAGCGGUGAAAUGCUUAGAUAUCAUGAAGAACUCCGAUUGCGAAGGCAGCUUACGGGAGCGAAACUGACGCUGAAGCUCGAAGGUGCGGGUAUCGAACAGG
Molecule: ribosomal RNA, 424 nt
Filed under: Verrucomicrobiota bacterium
Lineage: Bacteria; Pseudomonadati; Verrucomicrobiota
Description: Verrucomicrobia bacterium partial 16S ribosomal RNA
Rfam family: Bacterial small subunit ribosomal RNA
Source: RNAcentral